This 254-nucleotide ribosomal RNA is filed under the name uncultured bacterium. Its description in RNAcentral is "partial 16S ribosomal RNA". It matches the Rfam family "Bacterial small subunit ribosomal RNA", at positions 524 to 776 of the family's 1533-position model. The record is from RNAcentral.
UACGUAGGGUGCAAGCGUUGUCCGGAAUUAUUGGGCGUAAAGAGCUCGUAGGCGGUGUGUCGCGUCGGCCGUGAAAACCUGCAGCUUAACUGUGGGCUUGCGGUCGAUACGGGCAGGCUAGAGUUCGGUAGGGGAGAUCGGAAUUCCUGGUGUAGCGGUGAAAUGCGCAGAUAUCAGGAGGAACACCGGUGGCGAAGGCGGAUCUCUGGGCCGAUACUGACGCUGAGGAGCGAAAGCGUGGGGGAGCGAACAGG